This 600-nucleotide ribosomal RNA is filed under the name [Candida] sp. Levazot30. RNAcentral's name for it is "SSU rRNA". It matches the Rfam family "Eukaryotic small subunit ribosomal RNA", at positions 891 to 1518 of the family's 1831-position model. The record is from RNAcentral. Lineage: Eukaryota; Fungi; Ascomycota; Saccharomycetes; Saccharomycetales.
UCAGUAUUCAGUCGUCAGAGGUGAAAUUCUUGGAUUGACUGAAGACUAACUACUGCGAAAGCAUUUGCCAAGGACGUUUUCAUUAAUCAAGAACGAAAGUUAGGGGAUCGAAGAUGAUCAGAUACCGUCGUAGUCUUAACCAUAAACUAUGCCGACUAGGGAUCGGGUGGUGCUACUUUGCCCACUCGGCACCUUACGAGAAAUCAAAGUUUUUGGGUUCUGGGGGGAGUAUGGUCGCAAGGCUGAAACUUAAAGGAAUUGACGGAAGGGCACCACCAGGAGUGGAGCCUGCGGCUUAAUUUGACUCAACACGGGGAAACUCACCAGGUCCAGACGUAAUAAGGAUUGACAAGUUAGAGACUUCUCUUGAUCUUACGGGUGGUGGUGCAUGGCCGUUUUUAGUCCUUGGAGUGAUUUGUCUGCUUAAUUGCGAUAACGGACGAGACCUUAACCUGCUAAAUAGGGCUGCGAGCAUCUGCUCGGGUGCUCUUCUUAGAGGGACUAUGGGUAUCAAACCCAUGGAAGUUUGAGGCAACAACAGGUCUGUGAUGCCCUUAGACGUUCUGGGCCGCACGCGCGCUACACUGACGGAGCCAGCAA